RNAcentral lists this ribosomal RNA (1142 nucleotides) under uncultured fungus. RNAcentral describes it as "eukaryotic LSU rRNA". The stretch from base 508 to 1142 matches the Rfam family "Eukaryotic large subunit ribosomal RNA", at positions 1 to 649 of the family's 3401-position model. Lineage: Eukaryota; Fungi. The record is from RNAcentral.
AAGUCGUAACAAGGUCUCCGUAGGUGAACCUGCGGAGGGAUCAUUGAAGAGUUAGGGUCCCCGCGGCCCGACCUCCAACCCUUUGUUUACCAACCAUGUUGCCUCGGGGGCGACCCUGCCGUUCGCGGUCCGGGGCCCCCGGAGGCCCACCUAACGCUGCAUCCAUGCGUCCGAGUCUUUUAUUAAAUCAAAUAAAACUUUCAACAACGGAUCUCUUGGUUCUGGCAUCGAUGAAGAACGCAGCGAAAUGCGAUAAGUAAUGUGAAUUGCAGAAUUCAGUGAAUCAUCGAAUCUUUGAACGCACAUUGCGCCCCCUGGUAUUCCGGGGGGCAUGCCUGUUCGAGCGUCAUUACACCACUCAAGCCCCGCUUGGUAUUGGGCGCCGCGCCCGCCGCGCGCCUCAAAUGCAUCCGGCUGGGCCCAUCUCCCCCUAGCGUUGUGGCAUCUAAUUGUUUCGCUUGCGGGAUGGGUGGGCUCGCGCCGUCUAAACACCUCUUUUUACAUGGUUGACCUCGGAUCAGGUAGGGAUACCCGCUGAACUUAAGCAUAUCAAUAAGCGGAGGAAAAGAAACCAACAGGGAUUGCCCUAGUAACGGCGAGUGAAGCGGCAACAGCUCAAAUUUGAAAUCUGGCGUCUCCGGCGCCCGAGUUGUAAUUUGCAGAGGAUGCUCCUGGGUUGCCACCGGUCUAAGUUCCUUGGAACAGGACGUCGCAGAGGGGUGAGAAUCCCGUAUGUGACCGGCCUGGCACCCUCCACGUAGCUCCUUCGACGAGUCGAGUUGUUUGGGAAUGCAGCUCUAAAUGGGAGGUAAAUUUCNUUCNAAAGCUAAAUACCGGCCAGAGACCGAUAGCGCACAAGUAGAGUGAUCNGAAAGAUGAAAANGCACUUUGGAAAGAGAGUUAAAAAGCACGUGAAAUUGUUGAAAGGGAAGCGCUUUGCAACCAGACUUGGCCCGCGGCGUUCCGCCGGUCUUCUGACCGGUCUACUCGCCGCGUGCAGGCCAGCAUCACUUGGGGCCGCCGGAGAAAGGUCUUGGGAAUGUGGCUCCCUCGGGAGCGUUAUAGCCCAGGGCACAAUACGGCGUGCCCCGAGUGAGGUCCGCGCUUCGGCCAGGAUGCUGGCGUAAUGGUUGUAAGCGGCC